GACGAACGCUGGCGGCGUGCUUAACACAUGCAAGUCGAACGGAAAGGCCCUGCGUUUGUGGGGUGCUCGAGUGGCGAACGGGUGAGUAACACGUGAGUAACCUGCCCUUGACUUUGGGAUAACUUCAGGAAACUGGGGCUAAUACCGGAUAGGAGCUCCUGCUGCAUGGUGGGGGUUGGAAAGAUUCGGCGGUUGGGGAUGGACUCGCGGCUUAUCAGCUUGUUGGUGGGGUAGUGGCUUACCAAGGCUUUGACGGGUAGCCGGCCUGAGAGGUUGACCGGCGACAUUGGGACUGAGAUACGGACCAGAAGCCUACGGGAGGCAGCAGUGGGGAAUAUUGCACAAUGGGCGGAAGCCUGAUGCAGCAACGCCGCGUGCGGGAUGACGUCCUUCGGGUUGUAAACCGAUUUCGCCGGUGACGAAGCGUGAGUGACGGUAAUGGGUAAAGAAGCACCGGCUAACUACGUG
RNAcentral lists this ribosomal RNA (468 nucleotides) under uncultured bacterium. RNAcentral describes it as "partial 16S ribosomal RNA". It matches the Rfam family "Bacterial small subunit ribosomal RNA", at positions 28 to 507 of the family's 1533-position model. The record is from RNAcentral.